Molecule: ribosomal RNA, 951 nt
Filed under: Parmeliella triptophylla
Lineage: Eukaryota; Fungi; Ascomycota; Lecanoromycetes; Peltigerales; Pannariaceae
Description: partial large subunit ribosomal RNA
Rfam family: Eukaryotic large subunit ribosomal RNA
Source: RNAcentral
UGGUUGACCUCGGAUCAGGCAGGGAUACCCGCUGAACUUAAGCAUAUCAAUAAGCGGAGGAAAAGAAACCAACAGGGAUUGCCUCAGUAACGGCGAGUGAAGCGGCAACAGCUCAAAUUUGAAAUCCGGCCCCCCCCCGGGGCCCGAGUUGUAAUUUGCAGAGGGUGUUUCGGGCGCGGCGCGGGUCUAAGUUCCUUGGAACAGGACGUCGGAGAGGGUGAGAAUCCCGUACGCGACCCGCAACCGAGCCCGUGUGAAACCCCUUCGACGAGUCGAGUUGUUUGGGAAUGCAGCUCAAAAUGGGUGGUAAAUUUCAUCUAAAGCUAAAUACCGGCCAGAGACCGAUAGCGCACAAGUAGAGUGAUCGAAAGAUGAAAAGCACUUUGGAAAGAGAGUCAAACAGUACGUGAAAUUGUUGAAAGGGAAGCGCUUGCGGCCAGACCUGCCCCCGGGCGAUCAGCCGCUAUUCGUAGCGGUGCACUCGCCUCGGGAACAGGCCAGCAUCGGUUCGGGCGGCGGGAGAAAGUGCCCGGGAACGUAGCUUCCUCCGGGGAGUCUUAUAGCCCGGGCUGCCAUGCCGCCCGCCCGGACCGAGGACCGCGCCUUCGGCUAGGAUGCUGGCGUAAUGGCCGUAAGCGACCCGUCUUGAAACACGGACCAAGGAGUCUAACAUCCAUGCGAGUGUUUGGGUGUGAAACCCACGCGCGGAAUGAAAGUGAACGGAGGUGGGACCCCGGAAGGGUGCACCAUCGACCGAUCCAGAAGUCUUCGGAUGGAUUUGAGUACGAGCAUGGCUGUUGGGACCCGAAAGAUGGUGAACUAUGCGUGGAUAGGGUGAAGCCAGAGGAAACUCUGGUGGAGGCUCGCAGCGGUUCUGACGUGCAAAUCGAUCGUCAAAUCUGCGCAUAGGGGCGAAAGACUAAUCGAACCAUCUAGUAGCUGGUUACCGCC